AGGGCUGGGCGAAGGUGAUUUCCAAAAACUCAGUAACUCCGUGUUUUGAGACUUUCUCAGUUUUUGCAUCGCAUGUGAGGGUUUGUUGGGUGCUCCUAAACCCUCAUCAUGGUCAUUCUUCUUGGCUGGGCUGUUGAUUUAAUUAGGUUUGCCUUCUCUUGCUAACGUGCUCUUAUUUAUGCCAGUGUUUGUGGUUCUGGGUGUAGACUUUCAGGAAGCACAGCCAUGAAGCUGCAUGCGUCUGUGUGUGGAUGCCUCAUGCCUUUUCCUGGUGGUUUGCAGGCAUGGAAGAUUCUUCUGUUCAUCUAAGCUCCUGACUUUAGGCCCUUCUAGAACAUUAGAGAGGAGAAGAAAUCACGUGCAAGGAUUUAGGGACAAGAGGAUGAGGUUUUGGUGUUUCCUUUCUGGUAUUAGGUUUUCCAGAGAGAGGCUGUUAGCCUGUCUCUCGCCCACUCCACCACUGUGAAUCCUGGCUACUGGGGCUAGUUCCUUGCUAGGAAAAAAAAACUCUAGAGAAAUGUGUUUGUGUGUGGUGGGUGGGCGGGGGCCCUGAGGAUGCAGGGACUGUGUCUGCUGUGUUGUCUGUUAUAAGAUGUUUCAGACCUAUUUUGCAUACUGGCAGCGACAAGUUGAGACUUGUUCAACUUGACACAGUCCUGUGGUCAUAGCGAAUCUUUCUAAAGCUCUGAUCAGUCAAGAAGGGGGUUGUAUCAAUCCUCAGAACCCUGAGUGGAACUUUCUACAGGAUUUAUUAGGAGAAAAACCUUCCCGGAAGCUGCAGAAGGACAAAUACAGAAUCCGUGUCUGGGAGAAACCUCGUGGCCUGGUCUCCAUUAUUUGAGAUGAGUUACAUCUUGGAGGCCUGAUCUUUUGGCCAGAAGGAGAUUAAAAAGAUGCCCCUCAAGAUGGCUGUGCCUGUCAGCUGCAUGGAGCUUCGUUCAAGUAUUUUCUGAGCCUGAUGGAUUUACAGUGAUCUUCAGUGGUCUGGGGAAUAACGCUGGUGGAACCAUGCACUGGAAUGACACACGCCCGGCACAUUUCAGGAUACUAAAAGUGGUUUUAAGGGAGGCUGUGGCUGAAUGCCUCAUGGAUUCUUACAGCUUGGAUGUCCAUGGGGGACGAAGGACUGCAGCUGGCUGAGAGGGUUGAGAUCUCUGUUUACUUAGAUCUCUGCCAACUUCCUUUGGGUCUCCCUAUGGAAUGUAAGACCCCGACUCUUCCUGGUGAAGCAUCUGAUGCACGUUCCAUCCGGCGCUCAGCUGGGCUUGAGGACUUCGCAGGUGAGCAGUAACGGAAAUCAGCCCCGUUUAUUCCUCCCAGCACCUGCCUUAUCCAACUCCCCACGCUGUGGCUGAGUCCCAGCCUGCUAUGGAAGCAUCACUGGACUCCCAUUGAACUCUGUGCAGAUUCGCUGUUCGUAGACAUGGUACCUGAUGGACACCAAGCUACGUACAGCUUCAAGGCCCCUUCUUUCUUUGCUAAUAAAAAAUAAAAAAUAAAAACAUAAUACACGUUA
Long non-coding RNA from Homo sapiens (human), 1516 nucleotides. Ensembl annotates it as Pvt1 oncogene. Its record names the gene PVT1. Lineage: Eukaryota; Metazoa; Chordata; Mammalia; Primates; Hominidae. The record is from Ensembl.